GCGAUGGGUAACGAUGCUUUGAGGGUGGCUGUUGUCUAUGUGUGCAGAGGGUCCCUGGUUCUAGCCCAGGUAGGGGUGAGGAGAGGGACGGAAGCUAUACUGUUACAUUAAUGCCGUUGACCCGGAUCACUGGUUGCUGCGGAAAAGGAGGAGGUCAAAAGGAUAACCGAUGUGAAAUGACUAGCGUUGUGCGCGCUAAUUGUGUUUCAAUCGGUGACUUCACUCUCUCUGAGACCUUGAAGUAGUUGUUCCCCUUGCUCUGUUGUUGAUGUAUGCAGAGGGUCCCUGGUUCGAGCCCUGGAAUGGGCGAUGAGAGGGACGGAAGCUAUACUGUUACACGGGGGGCUGCCUUAAUCGACAUCCAUGUCAUUGGAUGUCAAAGAAACAAACACAUCAAGAAAAAGUUACUGUGAUGAUGUGACGUGCACAAAGACGUUGAAAACUUGGGGAGCCAAAUGAAACCACUCCUGGGCCAAAUUUGGCCUGUGGGCCGCCAGUUGGGAAACCCUGGCUUACGAGGUAAGGAAACCGAUAACUAUCCCUUUGACAUGUUCCCUGUAGACUUACAGUUCAUGAGUCUAUACAAUUCCACUGAAAAUGCAUAGUCAGCCUUCACUCGCUUUAGGAACAUAGGAAUAUAUAGUAAAAAAUACUUUCGAAAUAUGACAAUAAAGGUUAUUUGAAUGACACCUCUUUUCUAUUAGGAUCCUUGCAUAGGAAAAUUAAGAAAGUAUUCACGCACACACAUUCACACGCCAGGGACUGCAAAAUAAAGCUUAGUUAGUUAGUUAGUUCGUUAGUUACUACCUACUUACUUACCUUUAUCGAAUCCCAUUGGGAAAAGGGUCUUGUUUUCCUAUUCAACAAGCAUGACAUUAUUGCAUUUAUGAUUUAUCACAAGGCAAAAAACAGCACAGUGGUUUACGUACACAUUACAGUCCACUCCGAAUGAGCACUAGGGGGACCCAGCCUCAAGCCAUGCAACUCCAAUCCGGCAUAACUGAAGAGGGUGUGGCAGUCUAGGUGCAAACGGGCAGGCGUACUUGGACCCAUCCAAUUGUUUUUAUGGGAUGCUAAAAUCGUUGCCCUAGUGUUGACUAAACUUCAGACACAGAUGUAGGUGGCAGGAAGAUGCCUGUAGCGGAAUUAUGCAACCCAUAUCGCCACGCCCUUAGGAUUAUUCGGAACAGCAGCCCCAUACAACUCGAGGUCAACCUCUCUCUUUCUAAAGAGGGUCUGUUUCUUCUCAGCGGCUAAUCGUUGUCUUCUGCCCCUCCAACCCUCACCCACUCAUCGCAUGUACGUGUUUAUCUCAGCACAUUCCAAUCUUUAUGUGUCGCAUUUGAAGACCGACGCACACAAACCAAAACAUCUCUCGUCUCUGGAGGCUGCGGGUCGAGAGGG
Long non-coding RNA from Oncorhynchus tshawytscha (Chinook salmon), 1404 nucleotides. Lineage: Eukaryota; Metazoa; Chordata; Actinopteri; Salmoniformes; Salmonidae. The record is from Ensembl.